This 497-nucleotide ribosomal RNA is filed under the name uncultured bacterium. RNAcentral's name for it is "partial 16S ribosomal RNA". It matches the Rfam family "Bacterial small subunit ribosomal RNA", at positions 28 to 507 of the family's 1533-position model. The record is from RNAcentral.
GACGAACGCUGGCGGCGUGCCUAAUACAUGCAAGUUGAGCGCUGAAGGUUGGUACUUGUACCAACUGGAUGAGCAGCGAACGGGUGAGUAACGCGUGGGGAAUCUGCCUUUGAGCGGGGGACAACAUUUGGAAACGAAUGCUAAUACCGCAUAAAAACUUUAAACACAAGUUUUAAGUUUGAAAGAUGCAAUUACAUCACUCAAAGAUGAUCCCGCGUUGUAUUAGCUAGUUGGUGAGGUAAAGGCUCACCAAGGCGAUGAUACAUAGCCGACCUGAGAGGGUGAUCGGCCACAUUGGGACUGAGACACGGCCCAAACUCCUACGGGAGGCAGCAGUAGGGAAUCUUCGGCAAUGGACGAAAGUCUGACCGAGCAACGCCGCGUGAGUGAAGAAGGUUUUCGGAGCGUAAAACUCUGUUGGUAGAGAAGAACGUUGGUGAGAGUGGAAAGCUCAUCAAGUGACGGUAACUACCCAGAAGAGGACGGCUAACUACGUG